RNAcentral lists this ribosomal RNA (301 nucleotides) under uncultured bacterium. Its description in RNAcentral is "partial 16S ribosomal RNA". It matches the Rfam family "Bacterial small subunit ribosomal RNA", at positions 509 to 807 of the family's 1533-position model. The record is from RNAcentral.
CAGCAGCCACGGGAAUACGGAGGGUGCAAGCGUUAUCCGGAUUUAUUGGGUUUAAAGGGUCCGUAGGCGGACUUAUAAGUCAGUGGUGAAAGCCUGUCGCUUAACGAUAGAACUGCCAUUGAUACUGUAAGUCUUGAGUAUAUUUGAGGUAGCUGGAAUAAGUAGUGUAGCGGUGAAAUGCAUAGAUAUUACUUAGAACACCAAUUGCGAAGGCAGGUUACCAAGAUAUAACUGACGCUGAGGGACGAAAGCGUGGGUAGCGAACAGGAUUAGAUACCCGUGUAGUCCCUGUCUCUUAUAC